UACGUAGGGUGCGAGCGUUAAUCGGAAUUACUGGGCGUAAAGCGUGCGCAGGCGGUUGUGUAAGACAGAUGUGAAAGCCCCGGGCUCAACCUGGGAACUGCAUUUGAGACUGCUCUGCUCGGGUGCGGAAGAGGGAAGCGGAAUUUCCGGUGUAGCGGUGAAAUGCGUAGAUAUCGGAAGGAACACCAGUGGCGAAAGCGGCUUCCUGGUCCGACACCGACGUUCAGGCACGAAAGCGUGGGGAGCAAACAGG
RNAcentral lists this ribosomal RNA (253 nucleotides) under uncultured bacterium. Its description in RNAcentral is "partial 16S ribosomal RNA". It matches the Rfam family "Bacterial small subunit ribosomal RNA", at positions 524 to 776 of the family's 1533-position model. The record is from RNAcentral.